Molecule: ribosomal RNA, 253 nt
Filed under: uncultured bacterium
Lineage: Bacteria
Description: partial 16S ribosomal RNA
Rfam family: Bacterial small subunit ribosomal RNA
Source: RNAcentral
UACGGAGGGUGCAAGCGUUAUCCGGAUUUAUUGGGUUUAAAGGGUGCGUAGGCGGUAUAAUAAGUCAGUGGUGAAAAUCUGCAGCUCAACUGUAGUUGUGCCAUUGAAACUGUAUUACUUGAGUAACCAUGAGGUAGGCGGAAUGUGUAGUGUAGCGGUGAAAUGCUUAGAUAUUACACAGAACACCGAUUGCGUAGGCAGCUUACUAGGGGUUUACUGACGCUGAUGCACGAAAGCGUGGGGAUCAAACAGG